GGGUGAGGAAUACAUCGGAAUCUACCUUUUCGUGGGGGAUAACGUAGGGAAACUUACGCUAAUACCGCAUACGACCUACGGGUGAAAGUGGGGGACCGCAAGGCCUCACGCGAUUAGAUGAGCCGAUGUCCGAUUAGCUAGUUGGCGGGGUAAUGGCCCACCAAGGCGACGAUCGGUAGCUGGUCUGAGAGGAUGAUCAGCCACACUGGAACUGAGACACGGUCCAGACUCCUACGGGAGGCAGCAGUGGGGAAUAUUGGACAAUGGGCGCAAGCCUGAUCCAGCCAUACCGCGUGGGUGAAGAAGGCCUUCGGGUUGUAAAGCCCUUUUGUUGGGAAAGAAAUCCUAUCGGUUAAUAACCGGUGGGGAUGACGGUACCCAAAGAAUAAGCACCGGCUAACUUCGUGCCAGCAGCCGCGGUAAUACGAAGGGUGCAAGCGUUACUCGGAAUUACUGGGCGUAAAGCGUGCGUAGGUGGUGGUUUAAGUCUGCUGUGAAAGCCCUGGGCUCAACCUGGGAAUUGCAGUGGAUACUGGAUCACUAGAGUGUGGUAGAGGGAUGCGGAAUUUCUGGUGUAGCAGUGAAAUGCGUAGAGAUCAGAAGGAACAUCCGUGGCGAAGGCGGCAUCCUGGGCCAACAC
This 640-nucleotide ribosomal RNA is filed under the name Pseudoxanthomonas japonensis. RNAcentral's name for it is "bacterial SSU rRNA". It matches the Rfam family "Bacterial small subunit ribosomal RNA", at positions 104 to 740 of the family's 1533-position model. The record is from RNAcentral. Lineage: Bacteria; Pseudomonadati; Pseudomonadota; Gammaproteobacteria; Lysobacterales; Lysobacteraceae.